Molecule: ribosomal RNA, 389 nt
Filed under: uncultured bacterium
Lineage: Bacteria
Description: bacterial SSU rRNA
Rfam family: Bacterial small subunit ribosomal RNA
Source: RNAcentral
AACGAACGUUGGCGGUGUGCCUAAUACAUGCAAGUCGAGCGAGAAAGCCGGGGCAACUCGGCGAGUACAGCGGCGGAAGGGUGCGUAAUACAUGGAUAACGUACCCUCCAGUUGGGGAUAACCCUCCGAAAGGUGGGCUAAUACCGAAUAAUGGCAGCGGGCGGCAUCGCUUGCUGCUUAAAGACGCAAGUCGCUGGAGGAGCGGUCCAUGGCCUAUCAGCUAGUUGGCGGGGAACGGCCCACCAAGGCGAUGACGGGUAGCCGGACUGAGAGGUUGAACGGCCACACUGGGACUGAGACACGGCCCAGACAUCUACGGAUGGCAGCAGUAGGAAUCUUGCGCAAUGGGCGAAAGCCUGACGCAGCGACACCGCGUGGGGAUGAAGGCC